UUUUUAAUUCAAAGAGCAUAACAAAAUGACAGAAAAAAUAAGACGAAG
Molecule: small RNA, 48 nt
Filed under: Arabidopsis thaliana (thale cress)
Lineage: Eukaryota; Viridiplantae; Streptophyta; Magnoliopsida; Brassicales; Brassicaceae
Description: ATSL262380
Source: RNAcentral